This 482-nucleotide ribosomal RNA is filed under the name uncultured bacterium. RNAcentral's name for it is "partial 16S ribosomal RNA". It matches the Rfam family "Bacterial small subunit ribosomal RNA", at positions 29 to 507 of the family's 1533-position model. The record is from RNAcentral.
AUUGAACGCUGGCGGCAUGCUUUACACAUGCAAGUCGAACGGUAACAGGCCGCAAGGUGCUGACGAGUGGCGAACGGGUGAGUAAUGCACCGGAACGUGCCCAGUCGCGGGGGAUAACUACUCGAAAGAGUAGCUAAUACCGCAUACGCACUAUGGUUGAAAGCGAGGGAGCGUAAGGCUUCGCGCGGUUGGAUCGGCCGAUGUCAGAUUAGGUAGUUGGUGGGGUAAAGGUUCACCAAGACAAUGAUCUGCAGCUGGGCUAAGAGGACGACCAGCCAGACUGGGACUGAGAAACGGCCCAGACUCCUACGGGAGGCAGCAGUGGGGAAUUUUGCACGAGGGGGGCAAGGCUAAUCCAGCAAUGCCGCGGGAAGGAAGAAGGCCUUCGGGUGGGAAACUGAUGUAGGACGGAACGAAGCAGAUCUGGUUAAUCCCCGAGGAUAAUGACGGCACCGUAAGAAUAAGCACCGGCUAACUACGUG